UGGGGAAUAUUGCACAAUGGGCGCAAGCCUGAUGCAGCCAUGCCGCGUGUGUGAAGAAGGCCUCGGGUUGUAAAGCACUUUCAGCGAGGAGGAAGGUGGUGAACUUAAUACGUUCAUCAAUUGACGUUACUCGCAGAAGAAGCACCGGCUAACUCCGUGCCAGCAGCCGCGGUAAUACGGAGGGUGCAAGCGUUAAUCGGAAUUACUGGGCGUAAAGCGCACGCAGGCGGUUUGUUAAGUCAGAUGUGAAAUCCCCGGGCUCAACCUGGGAACUGCAUUUGAAACUGGCAAGCUAGAGUCUCGUAGAGGGGGGUAGAAUUCCAGGUGUAGCGGUGAAAUGCGUAGAGAUCUGGAGGAAUACCGGUGGCGAAGGCGGCCCCCCUGGACGAAGACUGACGCUCAGGUGCGAAAAGGCGUGGGGGCAGCAAACAGGAUUAGAUACCCUGGUAGUCCACGCUGUAAAACGAUGUCGAUUUUGGAGGUUGUGCCCCUUGAGGCGUGGNUUCCGGAGCUAACGCGUUAAAUCGACCG
This 531-nucleotide ribosomal RNA is filed under the name uncultured bacterium. RNAcentral's name for it is "partial 16S ribosomal RNA". It matches the Rfam family "Bacterial small subunit ribosomal RNA", at positions 355 to 871 of the family's 1533-position model. The record is from RNAcentral.